GUAAUGAUUUUUUAAGAGCUUUACAAAAUCAAGUUUGUUUUUGGAUGACUUGAAUUUUAUGAAAUAAAGUAGGAUUGACGUUUUUGAUAAUUUCAAGAGUUUUGUAAUAGAUCUAACAGUGAAAUUUUGUGAGUUAAUAGUUAUAAUUGUGCUUAAUAUGUAUUGUGAAUUUGAGCUUGAUCAAAGGGCUGGAUUGAAGAUUAUUAAGGUUUUUGUGGAUUAUGAUAUUGGAAUUUAGGAUUUUGAAGACAAAUGAGGAUUUCUAAGAUAUCUUGUAAUCUAUCAAUUGAUUUGGAGUGAAUAUUAUGUGUUUGGAU
RNAcentral lists this long non-coding RNA (317 nucleotides) under Physcomitrium patens. RNAcentral's name for it is "long non-coding RNA (PPAT_LNC012464)". Lineage: Eukaryota; Viridiplantae; Streptophyta; Bryopsida; Funariales; Funariaceae. The record is from RNAcentral.